UUUCCGUAGGUGAACCUGCGGAAGGAUCAUUAUCGAGUUCAUUUUGAUUCUUUUUCGGAAUCAAAAUAACACACACAAUUCCCUGCGAAAUGUUACACCAAAAAGUGAAUGUCUUGUCGGUGAUUCACAUCGCUGACAGCAUUCAAUUUUUAAUACAAAACAAUACACACUCACACAAGCUGAUUGGAUGUUUCAAUGAACAACAAACAAAAAACAAAUCCAUAACAACUUUUAACAACGGAUAUCUUGGCUCUC
This 255-nucleotide unclassified non-coding RNA is filed under the name soil metagenome. RNAcentral describes it as "partial contains small subunit ribosomal RNA, internal transcribed spacer 1, and 5.8S ribosomal RNA". The record is from RNAcentral.